GGCGGCGUGCAUAUACAUGCAAGUCGAGCGAAUCGACGGGAGCUUGCUCCCUUAGAUUAGCGGCGGACGGGUGAGUAACACGUGGGUAACCUGCCUAUAAGACUGGGAUAACUUCGGGAAACCGGAGCUAAUACCGGAUAAUUUCUUCCCUCGCAUGAGGGAAGAUGGAAAGACGGUUCUGCUGUCACUUAUAGAUGGACCCGCGGCGCAUUAGCUAGUUGGUGAGGUAAUGGCUCACCAAGGCGACGAUGCGUAGCCGACCUGAGAGGGUGAUCGGCCACACUGGGACUGAGACACGGCCCAGACUCCUACGGGAGGCAGCAGUAGGGAAUCUUCCGCAAUGGACGAAAGUCUGACGGAGCAACGCCGCGUGAACGAAGAAGGCCUUCGGGUCGUAAAGUUCUGUUGUUAGGGAAGAACAAGUACCAGAGUAACUGCUGGUACCUUGACGGUACCUAACCAGAAAGCCACGGCUAACUACGUGCCAGCAGCCGCGGUAAUACGUAGGUGGCAAGCGUUGUCCGGAAUUAUUGGGCGUAAAGCGCGCGCAGGUGGUUCUUUAAGUCUGAUGUGAAAGCCCACGGCUCAACCGUGGAGGGUCAUUGGAAACUGGGGAACUUGAGUGCAGAAGAGGAAAGU
This 639-nucleotide ribosomal RNA is filed under the name Bacillus sp. (in: firmicutes). RNAcentral describes it as "bacterial SSU rRNA". It matches the Rfam family "Bacterial small subunit ribosomal RNA", at positions 38 to 662 of the family's 1533-position model. Lineage: Bacteria; Bacillati; Bacillota; Bacilli; Caryophanales; Bacillaceae. The record is from RNAcentral.